UACGGAGGGAGCUAGCGUUGUUCGGAAUUACUGGGCGUAAAGCGAGUGUAGGUGGUUGUCAUAGUCAGGUGUGAAAGCCUUGAGCUCAACUCAAGAAAUGCACUUGAUACUGGGCGACUAGAGGACCGGAGAGGAUAGUGGAAUUCCCAGUGUAGUGGUGAAAUACGUAGAGAUUGGGAAGAACACCAGUGGCGAAGGCGGCUAUCUGGACGGUUUCUGACACUAAGACUCGAAAGCGUGGGGAGCAAACAGGAUUAGAAACCCUAGUAGU
RNAcentral lists this ribosomal RNA (271 nucleotides) under uncultured bacterium. Its description in RNAcentral is "partial 16S ribosomal RNA". It matches the Rfam family "Bacterial small subunit ribosomal RNA", at positions 524 to 794 of the family's 1533-position model. The record is from RNAcentral.